Long non-coding RNA from Mustela erminea (ermine), 1703 nucleotides. RefSeq lists it as uncharacterized. Lineage: Eukaryota; Metazoa; Chordata; Mammalia; Carnivora; Mustelidae. The transcript is spliced from 4 exons. The record is from RefSeq and is a predicted model, not a curated record.
AGAUCAUGACCUGAGCCAAAGGCAGAUGCUUAACGACUGAGCCACCCAGGAGCCCCUAUGGAUUUCUUUUCUAACAUCUAGAAAAGAACUUUCAGGUCAGUAGUGAGAAUGUGUCCAGCAGAUGGGUAGACUGAUGCCUGGAGAGGAGAAACCACCUGCCCGAGGGCCAAAGGAGACCCCCAUCAUCCUAACCUUGCACUUGGACGCUUCCCUCUGGAGCUCGGUCUCAGGAAGAUCCCUUCAAGAAAUCACCAGAAACCGAGGGGCAGCAUAAGCCCACAGGCUGCUGGUGCUCAGACGGUUGGGCUGUGACGCCCAGUGACAGGGAUGUAGCUGCGUGGGAGCCCUGAGGAAGCCGAGGGCCAGAGCCAUUUCCUCGUUCUCACCACGGCUUCGUCCUCAAUCCCCAGCCCGUGCCACAAGCCUGCAGCCUGGACUGGAGGCUGGAGGCAGCUGGGAAAGGAAGCAGGGCCUUCUAAGCAGGACUCCAGGGAAAAGCGGCAGGCUGGGGCCGUGGGUGACACCCCAUUUCCCUGCUGCUGCUGCAACCUUCCUGGGCACAACCAGGAGCUCCAGAAGUACAGGAUCAGGACGCUUGCACUGAUCUCCCUCAGGACACGGAAGCUGCAUGAACCUGUGCUGGGGGUGGCAUGUCCACCAGCUGGCAAACUCCUUUGCUGACUGCCCACCACGCGGACCCCCGUGACCCUCCCGGGCCCCUCACUGCCCCACCCUGGGGUCUGCGGGGUGGUGGUCCUGGGUUCUGUGACCUGCAGCCCCUGAACUCCAUGGCUCCUCUGUGGUCAGACACUGCCCAGUGGGCCAGGGCUGCUCUUGCGUCUUCUCUCCCAGCCCUGCCCUUGCAAGAGAUCAGGUGCGAGCGGUCUGUGAGAAGUCCAAGGGCAUACACAGAACUGCCGUGGGGCCUAGGGCCUGAGCCCCAAGGAGGGGGGUAUGUGGAACACAUGUCACAGGGAGUGGUAGUGGAGGCAGUGAGGGCAAGCUGACCAGCAGUGGAGGGGAAAGCAGACAACUGGCCUUGGACACUUUGGUGUCACUCUCCCCGAGGAGGGGGCUCCCAGGACCAGGGGUGGGGUGCACAACAUUGGGGCCGCCCCUGAGUCGGGGAGGUCCCUGCAGCGCCGUGCCUAGUGGGGCCACCUGCUCUCCUGGGGGAAUUCAGGAUUGCCCUGAGGUCCAAGGAAGCUGGAGAAAUGUGAUAUCACGGGUUGCAGAUGGUGGAGCCAAGGCACAGACAGGGCCAGAGUCAGGAGCGCGGGACCCAGGUCCUCCACAGCAAUGCCCCUCCCUAUAGGUCAGAGUCCCAUGAAAAUGGAAGGGCCACGCGGAGUGUGCGGUGGGGAGCAGAACACGGUAUGGAUGGGGUGGGAGGCCGGCCAAGGGCAUCAGCAUCCUUGACACUGAGCAGCUGCCCUGGGAGAGGGACUGACGUGCUCUGGACAACCCCAGAGGACAGGACCAGGCCAGGUCUGAGGGAGGAAACUCGUCUUUUCUUUGAUGGUGCUAUGGGCUGCACUGUGAGGUGGUGAGCUCUUUGUCCUGGGAGGUAUGAAAGAGAAAGCCAGGCCCUGGGGGUUCCAAGGACCAAGAAGUGAGCACCUUGGAUCUGGGUUCUUUUUUUUUUUUUUUUUUAAAUAUUUUAUUUAUUUAUUUGACAGAGAUCACAAGUAGGCAGAGAGGCA